This is a long non-coding RNA of Saccoglossus kowalevskii, 446 nucleotides long. RefSeq lists it as uncharacterized. Lineage: Eukaryota; Metazoa; Hemichordata; Enteropneusta; Harrimaniidae. The record is from RefSeq and is a predicted model, not a curated record.
UUAUCCUACGCACACUCAUAUAUAUAUAUAGUAUGAUUGACAGAAUUCAAAAAUAUCACAUCUGUUAGUGAACAUUAUACAGGUAUCCUGAAUUCAGUGAGCAUCAUCGUUGUCACAGGAAGACAAUAAUUACUAGCAUUACAAGGAAUUAUCAAUAACAUGGCAGCGAGAAGAAUGAUUCUGUUGUUGGUCAUUAUCGGCGUAGCAGUGGCUUUGGAUGACCUACAGGCAGCUGAAGAAGAACUGGCUGAAAUCCAAGCACAUUUUAUGGAAAAAUACCCAGAGGGUGCACAACAGUAUAUUCCACUGCUCACAGAAGAUUUAGAAAAUGAUGCAAACAGUAUUGGCGUGUAGAUGCUGAACACAGCUACCUUCUAUUGACGGGCCGAGAAUGUCGUAAAUAACCUGAUGUGUUGAAUUGAAAUAAAUGGGCGAUGAAAAAAAUA